UCCGAAAUAGCUCAAUCGGUAGAGCAACCGGCUGUUAACCGGUAGGUUCCAGGUUCGACCCCUGGUUUCGGAGCCA
Molecule: transfer RNA, 76 nt
Filed under: Pseudomonas amygdali pv. lachrymans str. M301315
Lineage: Bacteria; Pseudomonadati; Pseudomonadota; Gammaproteobacteria; Pseudomonadales; Pseudomonadaceae
Description: tRNA-Asn
Rfam family: tRNA
About the family: Transfer RNA (tRNA) molecules are approximately 80 nucleotides in length. Their secondary structure includes four short double-helical elements and three loops (D, anti-codon, and T loops). Further hydrogen bonds mediate the characteristic L-shaped molecular structure. tRNAs have two regions of fundamental functional importance: the anti-codon, which is responsible for specific mRNA codon recognition, and the 3' end, to which the tRNAs corresponding amino acid is attached (by aminoacyl-tRNA synthetases). tRNAs cope with the degeneracy of the genetic code in two manners: having more than one tRNA (with a specific anti-codon) for a particular amino acid; and 'wobble' base-pairing, i.e. permitting non-standard base-pairing at the 3rd anti-codon position.
Source: RNAcentral